GUGAAAAUGUUGAGGUAAUUUCAGAUGUUCAAAUGAUAUUGGAAAAAUGAAAGAAACAAUGAUAUAAUGCACAGCCAACAGAUGUUUUUUUAUGAUGAACAUGUGAUGAAAAUCUGAUGUCCCAACUUGAAGCAACUGAUAGCAAUAAUGAUACACCUUUAGACGAUCCAAUCACCUUAGGUGAAGUGAGAGCAGCAGCGACAAAAGCUAAGAAACACACGGCAACCGGUGUAGAUGAAAUACUAGCAGAAACUCUGCAAAAUGACAAUAGUACACUCUUAUCACAUAAGAUAUUAAAGUACUGCUUUCAGCAUGGGUUAACAUCUGCAGUGUGGAGACAAGGAAUAAUUAACCCUAUAAUUUAACCUGGGAGCACUGACGUACAUGCGCCAUCAACCUACAGAGGAAUUACACUCCAUUCAGUCCCUUGAAAAAUAUUUUGUGAUAAUAUUAAACCAGAAAAUUUAUAAAUGGUAGGAAGAAAAUGACUUGCUAGUUGAUGAACUAUGCGCAGUUGUCUUGAUCAUAUAUAUACUCUGUACACAGUUGUCAAUAACAGAAAAGGGUCGAAACAAAGUACGUUUCCUUGUUUUUUAUUGACUCGAGGAAAGCGUUUGACAAUAUCAACCGUGAACGUUUAUGGUAUAAACUUAACAAUCGAGGAUGGCAAGGCCCUCUCAUGCAUUCAAUCUAAGUGUAUGAAGGCUGGUGAAAUGGCCCACAGUACAUUUACAAGACUGUAUGAAGCUGUUGUAAAACCUGUUCUUCUGUAUGGAACAGCCCUCUGGGGAUUGACAGAGCACAGCUGCAUUAAUUCUGUACAAAACCGAGCAUGCCACUUCUUAUUUGGUGUACCUAAAUCUACAUCUGGAUGUGCCGAAAUGGGAUGGAACAGUUGCCUUCAGAAAAGAAUUGAAGUACAUGUAUUCAGAUUGUAUUCAAGACUUACUCCACAGAAUAGUAAUCUACUAAAUUGUGUUCUUUCAUGGUUUCGUCGUAGAAGGAAGUCGUAUUUGUCACGAGUUAUCUCCCUUGCUCACAAACCUACAUUCAACCUGGACUUGAUGAGUUGGAAUAGUGUGAAUGAUUCCAACAAAAUGAUUAAACAGCAGUUGAACAGCAAAUUUGAUGAUGAAUUGUGAUUUAAAGAACUGCGGACCGAUAAAAAAGUUUACAAAGGGCAUUAAAUUGAGGACAUAUCGGACAUUCAAGAAAGAUAGGGUACCAUAUCUUUGUUGCUCAAUGCCAAGAUAUAAAAGUAAAGGGUUAGAUAACUUUCGAUGCGAGACUAUACCUCUGACCACAGAAACUGGACGCUAUAGCAGACCUGUAACCCCACUGGACGAGCGCCGCUGUCCGUUCUGUGAUGUGACCGAGGACGAAACACGUUUUCUGAUAGACUGUCCCACUUACGAAGAUAUCAGAUAUGAACUUUUGAAAGAUAAUUCCGUGAUACCAUAUUUCACAAAUCUCACUUCACCCGAAAAACGUAUCUACUUAACGCAAAUAUUGAAAUUCAAAAAAAGUUAGGAGAUGCCCUAUUGCUAGAAGACGUAAUCUUGUAAAUUAAUCUGUAAUCUACUAUUUUAAUUGUACGUUUUUAAUUGAUUUUAAAAAUAAGUUAUGU
RNAcentral lists this long non-coding RNA (1627 nucleotides) under Haliotis rubra (blacklip abalone). RNAcentral describes it as "uncharacterized LOC124271999". Lineage: Eukaryota; Metazoa; Mollusca; Gastropoda; Lepetellida; Haliotidae. The record is from RNAcentral.